AUGGAAAAACAGGGAAGCAGCCACCAGCUGGACACCUUCGCUCAACUGGACGGCGGGGCGGCGCCGGAGGAGCCGAUCGGCGGUGGCGCGGGAGCUGAGAUGGUGGACUACAUGCUGGGCCAGACGACGCCGCUGCCUCCGGGUGGGCCGCACGGCCAGGUGUCCUUGGACAAGCUCAGCUUCUCCGACGUGCUACAGUUCGCCGACUUCGGCCCCAGGCUCGCGCUCAACCAGCCGUCUGCCGACCACGACGACGCCCGUGACGACGACGAGGAGGACAGCUACUUCUUCAGGUUCCAGUCCCAGCUCUCCGGCUCGGACGACCCCGAUCCCCGCGGAGGCGCAGGUAUCCACCACGCUGCGGAGCACGAGGGCAGCAAGACGGCGGACGGAUCAGGAGGCCCGCACGAUCACGGCGGCGGCGUCUCCGAGAGCACCACGCUGGUCCAGCAGUCCGACGGCGGCGGCAGGGUCGGCCAGAAGGCUGGCGGGGAGCAGGCGAAGAGCGGGCGGCGGAAGCGGCCCCGGUCGACCAAGACCAGCGAGGAGGUGGAGAGCCAGCGGAUGACGCACAUCGCCGUCGAGCGCAACCGGCGGAGACAGAUGAACGAUUACCUCAGGGUCCUCAGGUCCCUCAUGCCAGGAUCCUACGUCCAAAGGGGAGAUCAAGCAUCCAUCAUAGGCGGAGCCAUAGAGUUCAUACGUGAGCUAGAGCAGCUAAUCCAGUGCCUCGAGUCACAGAAGCGGCGGCGCCUGUACGGCGACACGCCACGGCCGGUCGCUGACGCGUCCGCCCCAGUGGUGCCGGCGACAUCCAUCCACGAGCCGCCACCGCAAGGGCACGAGGCUCCGCCAUUCUACGUCUCCCCGAGCCUCUCGUUCCCUGCGGCGGGGAACGGUGACGGUGCCGCCGGUGCCAAGGUGAUGAUCGACCUCGACACGUGCGGCGGCGGGCUCCGUGAGGAGGUGGCCGAGAACAAGUCGAGCCUGGCGGACAUCGAGGUGCGCGUGCUGGGCGAGGACGCGGUGAUCAAGGUCCUGUCUCGCCGCCGGCCGGAGCAGCUGAUCAAGACCAUCGCCGUGCUGGAGGAGAUGCACAUGUCCAUCCUCCACACCAACAUCACCACCAUCGAGCAGACCGUCCUCUACUCCUUCAACGUCAAGAUCACGAGCGAGCCAAGAUUCACGGCGGAGGAGAUCGUCGGCGCCGUCCACCAGAUCCUCAGCUUCAUCGACGUCAACUACACGUUAUGA
Molecule: ribosomal RNA, 1254 nt
Filed under: Triticum aestivum (bread wheat)
Lineage: Eukaryota; Viridiplantae; Streptophyta; Magnoliopsida; Poales; Poaceae
Description: partial small subunit ribosomal RNA
Source: RNAcentral